UACGUAUGGUGCAAGCGUUAUCCGGAUUUACUGGGUGUAAAGGGAGCGCAGGCGGCACGGCAAGCCUGAUGUGAAAGCCCGCGGCCCAACCGCGGGACUGCAUUGGGAACUACCGGGCUGGAGUGCCGGAGAGGUAGGCGGAAUUCCUAGUGUAGCGGUGGAAUGCGUAGAUAUUAGGAGGAACACCAGUGGCGAAGGCGGCCUACUGGACGGUGACUGACGCUGAGGCUCGAAAGCGUGGGGAGCAAACAGG
RNAcentral lists this ribosomal RNA (253 nucleotides) under uncultured bacterium. Its description in RNAcentral is "partial 16S ribosomal RNA". It matches the Rfam family "Bacterial small subunit ribosomal RNA", at positions 524 to 776 of the family's 1533-position model. The record is from RNAcentral.